This 74-nucleotide transfer RNA is filed under the name Danio rerio (zebrafish). It matches the Rfam family "tRNA". From Rfam's summary of the family: Transfer RNA (tRNA) molecules are approximately 80 nucleotides in length. Lineage: Eukaryota; Metazoa; Chordata; Actinopteri; Cypriniformes; Danionidae. The record is from Rfam by way of RNAcentral.
GACGAGGUGGUUAAGGCAAUGAACUGCUAAUCCAUUGUGCUCUGCACACGUGGGUUCGAAUCCCAUCCUUGUCG